Molecule: small nuclear RNA, 98 nt
Filed under: Ictidomys tridecemlineatus (thirteen-lined ground squirrel)
Lineage: Eukaryota; Metazoa; Chordata; Mammalia; Rodentia; Sciuridae
Source: RNAcentral
GUGCUUGUUUCGGUAGCACAUGUACUGGAAGGACAAGGAGAUUAGCCAGGCUGCUGAACAAGGAUGACACCCAAAUUUGUGAAGGGUUUCAAAAAUAC